GCAUCAACUGAGAACUUCGUGGCAAGUGGUGGAGGCGAGAUGUAAGCCAUACAGUUUCUAGCCUAAGGGAGGAGCGGGACGGAAGCUAUACGGUUACAUUGAUGCUGUGGACCCGGAUCACUGGCUGCUGCGGAAAAGGAGGAGAUCAAAAGAGGGGACCAUGCCUCAGGACUACCUAGCCUGAUGACUCCUUGCUAUCCCGAGUCCACCUGGUCAUGCUGCUGCUCCCGUUUCAACUGUUCUGUAUGCGGCUGUGGAACCCUGACCUGUUCACUGGACGUGCUACCUUAUCCCGGACCUGCUGUUUUCGACCCUCUCUCUACCACAACUGCUGUCUCUAACUCUGAAUGAUCGGCUAUGAAAAGCCAACUGACAUUUAAUCCUGAGGUGCUGACCUGUUGCACCCUCUAGAACCACUGUGAUUA
Oncorhynchus masou masou (cherry salmon) is the source of this 425-nucleotide long non-coding RNA. RefSeq lists it as uncharacterized. The record is from RefSeq and is a predicted model, not a curated record. The transcript is spliced from 3 exons. Lineage: Eukaryota; Metazoa; Chordata; Actinopteri; Salmoniformes; Salmonidae.